UGAUUGGACCUGAAUAAUGGCAUCACUGGUAGUGAUGGGUAAGCAAAUGUGUUUAGUGCAACCUCUUGCCUUGGUUUUGGCUAAGGAAGGACAGGGUUGAUUUUUUGCAGUAGCUGCAAAGGGGUGGUGCCUGGAGCUGUGUGGGAGUGGCCAAGACCAUAAUAUUAUUCCAUACCAUCUCAUGUCCUUUGCCAGGGGUAGGGACUCUCUCUCUUGCUUCCAAGAAGAAGAGCGUUCCUUUUUUGGUGGAGAAAGUGUGGUGGGCAGAGGGAAGCUGCCCACUAUUAUUUCCUUGUCCUGGGCUUGGUCAGCAUUUUGCAUGUAAAUCACCCUCUCCUUGUACACUUUUGUUAUUAGUUUUGUUGUUGUUACUGUUCAUUUUUCUUAUCUCAUUGCUGUUUCCAGUAAUUGUUCUUAUCUCAACCUGUGAUCUCUGCCUUUUGUGCCUCCCAUUUAGGAGGGGAGGGAAGUGAUUCCUUGUCUUUUUAGUGGGAGUACUAAAUUGGGGAAUACUGUUCCUAAACUAUGAUGCCUCUAAUAAUGUUUUCAUGAGAAAAAUAAUCUGCAGCAUUCAUUAGAUAUAAAAUUGAUAUCCCACUUCUUAUAAUGUAGUAUUCUUACGGUAUCUUUAUUUGGCAAAGAAUUGAGAAUAGUUAUAUGAGAAGUUAGUGAAGAAAAUAUCUGGUUUCUAAAAGAAGGGAAAUAUAUUUCAAUUGUUGGGCUAGAAUUGGAUGAAGAAGUACAUUAUGCUUCCUCCAACCUCUAAAAUGACCUAUUUAGCCUGUACAAGAUGUUACUUUUUUGGGAUAGCCAGGACUCUGUGAAACUCAGAGGCAAAGGGAUGGAGCCAGGAAGAUCUCUUGGCUGACGUUCUGAUAGAUAAUUUUGCAUGUGCUGCAGAAAUAUGAUCAGGAAAAGUUGAGAUAAAAAUGGUAGUUUUUCUAUCAUAUUUUCUUUGUAAAUUUGACAGCUAAUAGUCAAAUGUUUUUUGAAAAUGGCUACUCCUUUGUGGAAGUUCAAUUUUUGGAAUACUUAUGUUGUCCAUACCUAUUUGAGCUGUAGGGGAACUUUGCUAUGUAAUGGCCUUAUUUUGCAAGAGUCAUGGAUGUCAAAACAGGGAUACAUAACAUUUUUCUAAAAUCAGGCCUCUCUAAUGUACACAGAGGAGGUAAUUAGUGGUUUGUAAGAAAUGUAGGGUUUGGGUUUUUUUUAUAAUAAAUCAAGGGGCGGUUGCCUGAAAAGAAUAGGAUAAAUAACUGGGGAUUAGAUAACCCUGUGAGCAAAUUUUAAUUCAACUUUUUAAACUACUAGGGUAUAUUAUUUAACACUUCCGAAUGUGACUUGCAAAUGUUUUAUCAUUCACUGAAAAAAUGUUGCGCAAGGAUGAACAUGGGUUUUCAUAGUGUUAAAUACAUAUAUGUAAGUGUGUAUAUGUAUGUAUAUACACUUUAUAUGGGUGCUUUUAUUGAGCUUAUAUUAGGGAACAGAGCCUCCAGUAAGACUUAGGUGUUCACAGCAGUAGAAUUUUCUACAACCAUUUAGGACUAAACUGAAGUGUGUGAAAUUUUGCAUAGCUGCAAAAAUAUAUACAUAAAUUUACCUUAACAGGGCUGGGUCUUUGUAGUACAAAACACUUAGAAAGUAUUCAUGAGCAAAUGCUCUGCAAAUGAAGUUCUAUGAAUUCAGUUAAGUGCAUAUCUAAAUUAUUUUAGAUCAUUAUAUGCUUACUUAUGUGUGAGCCUGCUGGAUUUCUGUAUGAAGUCUCUGUAGCACUGAGAUUUUUUUAUUACUGUUUCUUUUGUUAUUGCUACUUCCUGGACCUUAUAUUUUAUUUUGAAAAGUCAUGAUAUAGCUUUAUCUCUUCUUCAUUAUUUAUUUCAUUAAAUAUAGCAAGCCUGCUCCUUUUAAAUGAUAUUGUCUCUUCUGCAUUUGGAUAACAAGGUCAUUGUGAUACCGUAUGGGAAAACAGGCUUUUGAGCUAACCAGUCAUAUCUACAUUGUGCUGUGUAUUUUACCUGGAUUAAUAAAUUGUUCAUUAUGUCUGUAUUGCAAGGGUUGCUCCUAUUAUGCAACAGCUUCUCUUUGGAAUUUCCCAGAUAGAAACACAUGCUACUGAUCAUAAAUGCCUGGGAGAUGCAUUAAAAUAAGGUAACAAGGACUACACACAUGUGCCCAUUUUGUCUGGAUACCUACUAAUUGCAAACAGUUGGUUUUAUUUCUUUCUACCAGAAAAAAUUUCUGAUAGAAAAGUUGGACAGCUGGAGUCCCUCUGAAGGGACUCAGAGGAACUAAGGCUAAGUUAAUAUGCAUCAUGCUUAGCUCAAGUGUGUAAUUGGCUACUUGCAGAAUGGCACAAGGUAAAAAAUUUUUACUCUAAAUCUGAGAAGAAAGUCAUAGUUUUAGAGAAGAGAACAGUGAAUAAUGAUUGCUGCAUACCGUGACCUUUAAUUAUAAUACUGCAUUCUAAUGUGCAUGCCAUUAUAGUUACAGUUGUUCACAACAAGGCAGAGCUUUCAUGUAGUGUAAAAGGAAAAUCUUUCUAUCCUUCCUUUAAUGCUGGACUUUUGAAGUGUUUCUUCUGCCUGAUGUAAAGAACAGUAUUACUGUCAUGGGCCGCUGCCAGGGGCUGUUUGCUUCCAACAAUUGCGGCUUCAAACCAGCGUUGUAACAGAUGUAUCUACACUGUGGCAGGUUAGCCUGGCACACUGUCUGCUUUUAAGACAGGUUCUAAGAAGGUAUUUAAAGGCUGUAACCUUGCAUGGGAUCUGAAACCCAGAGCAUAUGUGAGGUCCUGGGUGAAGAGUCAUUUGAAGUUCCUCCAUGAUACUCUAGUUAAAACUUUAGUCAUCUUCAGUGGUUAGUGCAGCUGUAGAAUCUUGUAAUAUCUGCUCUACUGGAGAUCAUUGUUACUAAAGGAAACCAGGCCCAACUGUCCCAGCAGCCUUACCUAAAUAUACAAAUAUACAGGUAAGCCUGUUGUCAUGUGCUGGUGCAUCAUCAACCUGGUUUCCAAAAGUGUACAUGAAUUUAGCCACAGAUGGACAUCAUCUCUGAGGAGUAAGGUAGAGUUUCUAUGUGUUUCUUUCUCACUCUCUCUAAAAGAUAUGAUUGUGUCUUAGUAAAAAGUGGAAGAUCAUUCCUUAUAUCCAGUGAAGAUCAUCACAUCUGAAGUGUUUCUGAGACAUGCGGAGUCGCUAUCUGUCUAGCCUGUAUUUCUGUCUGCAGGUUUCCUUGGGGAAGUGGUGAUGGUCAGAAUAUAAGGGAGCAUUUGGCUUUUUCUAAAACAAGUGGAGUCCUCAGGAGUUACAGUGGGCUUUGAUGGAGACAGUAGCUUACUGAGCAACUUAGGAAGUAAUUUAUUUAAAUGUUUUCUUAAUGAAAUGUGAAACAAGUGUGCACCUACUUGAAGCAAGAGUUAAAAUGCAGGCUUUGGGAAUUUGGCAUGUUGAAGAACAGUGUUGGAGGUGUUGGUUUGUUUAUUUAUUUAUUUAUUUAUUUGUUUUCCUUUUUUUUUUAUAAUUCAAACAUUUUUUCUUUCAUCGUCAUUGAUUAUUUAUAGUCAAGUGGAAUAGAUAGGUUUCAUCUGAAUGGGAGCAUUGUCACAUGGUGCUUAUAUGAUCUAGCUAGCUCUAAGCAGGAAGGAAGGUGGAAAGAGUAAGAUAGAAGGAUCUUGUCCUUUUGAGGAUGCCAUUAAAUGCUGCAUGUUGGCUUUUUUGUACAAAUAACCUUUUGCCCAUCUAGUUUAUUUUGCUAAAUGCCCAAGUUUAAAUAAUGAAUCUGAAUUGAAAGUUAAACCUUUCAGAAAGGAGCUUUUGACUCCAACUCAUCCUCUCCUGAGAACUUUUCACCAUCUCCCUUGCUUGAAGUUGGAUCUCACUACCUAGAUAUGGCAUAAGAGGAAAUUACAUUUUUUGGGUUUGUUUUGGUUUCGGUUGGUUGUUAUAUUUUAUUUCAUUUUCAUGGUCAUAUAGAAAUUGAUUGUUAAAGCAAUGCUAUAUUUUACUUACUGCUGUUUUGUUAAUGCAAAUAUCUUAAAAAAAUCUACAGUCCAGGGAUUUGACAGCUUUAUUUUAUGACUUAAUUGUUAGGAAUAGGAAAAGGCUUAGCAUGAAAUACUAUUUGCCAUUGUAAUGAAUAACUUAUGAGCAGGGACACAAAUUCUGGUACAGGUAUAGGCAGGACAUGUUACAACAAGGAACAAGAUUUUGACCAAACAACAACAGGGGGGGUGGAGCAGAAUGCAAAGUCAGCAUUAUACACAUUCUGUGGAGCAACAAGAUACCAGCACAGACUGAGUCUGCAGCUAAGGGUCCAGUCUGCUCUCAGCAUUACAGCCAUAGCACUGAGGAGAGAAUGGUGACAUCUUCCAGCCGUGACUUAAUUGUUGUUACCUGAUGGAUCUAUCAUUGCUGCUCUACACUAAAACUUUGGAAACGAUUUGUACCGAGGAUUAAAAGUAAAAAUUAUAGAAGAAUUAAAGUGAGGGUGAAAUCCAACUGUCACCAUCAUGUGUAGGAGAUAGAAAGCUACAACAUCUUUAAGCUUGUAUCUCACAUCCUUGGUGUGUGAAGACAGGCUCAAAUGUUGUGUUGAAGUAUGCAUCUUGUCCACUAUACUCAGGUUUGUGCAGAGGUAACAGCCAUGACACUGUUUUUCAUAACUUCUUGGGUGAUAGAUAUACCACAAUAAAAGGAGACAGGCCUAUUCUCUUCUCCUACACAUGGAGAACAUUAAUAAAGGGAGAACAAAAAGUGGGUGAAAGCAGUUUUGUGACCUAAUUUUUUUCUACCCACUUACCUACAAACUAGGCUAUUUUCUGUUUCCCUAUGAAACCCUACUUCAUACAUAGGAUUUUUAUAAGUUGCUCCUAUUGUAAAGACUGAGUCCUUUAGCUUUACCACUUUAUCAGACACCUUGAUUUUACUCUUUCCUACUUUUAGAAAAUGAGAAAGCUGAGAAAAUCACAAUUUUCUGUUUCCAAAAUUCAGUUUAUUUGUUGUUUGGAGAAAGCAGUGUGGUUCUAUGAAGAAAAAAAGUCUUUCUUGUUUUUUGAUGCUUUUGUAAGGUAGUUGCUAUAGGCCACUGAGAAGCUUUUUGGUACCAAAACCAAAAUUGAUGUUAGUUUAAGGGUUUAAUAAGCACUGUUUAAGUGUAAGCACUAUGGUUUUAUAGAGCACUGUGUUUUCCAGACGUGAAUCUUCUGAUAAAUGGCUAAAUAGAACAUUAUUUUGAAGAGAGACAACUACAGAUGCAUGAAAAAAAUCAGUACUGUGUUUGCCAGGAAAUAUGGAUGCUGUAGCAUUCUCUAACAGUGACAUUCAUCGAAGUCCUUUGUCUAUUAUAACAGUUUUAUGUCUAAUUCUUCCCAUUGGAAGUACAUUUAGUAGCAGGUUUUCAUGUUCAAUGAAAGCUCUUGAAAGUGAAAUUGGUUUACUGCAGGAUAUCCAUUCCAAUGAUGUAACUCCAGAUCAAUUAAACUGAAGUUGAUGGUGCUACUCUAGAUUUACAUAUCUGUAAUGGAGAAUACAGUCUGGCUCAACAUGUGUAUGAGAUCCCAGUUAAUGUAGUGAAAGAGAAUAAGUUUUAAUUUGACCUUUUAUAAAUGUUCUCAGAAGUUUUUUUUAAAGGAAAAAGUGCAAGGUGAUCAAAUAUCAGACAGUGGUGCUGUUGAUUCCAGAUUGCAUAUGUGUUACUUAUAGAUCCAGCUGUCUAUCCUCAUUUACACUCACGUUUGGAGUCUUUGGUCCCUCAUAUUGAAAAAGAAGCAUUUGUACAUGGAGGGGAUGCAGGACUUUGUCCAACCUGGUUUUAGUGGCUGGACAUCUGUUCGGACAAGAGACAAAGCUAUCAAGGACCUCUGAAGUCAGUGAGGUAAGGUAUGAAAUUACUACUUCCCUCCCCAUUUACAGCUAAGAACGUUUUAUAAUUCAUCAGCCUGGGAACCUAUGUCUGUACCACUCAGGCAAAUUCCUGCUCGCUUCAACCUAGAUUUGUUCCUGACACGCAACUUCAAGGCUGAGCCUUGUUGCAGUCCCUAAAUCAAGCUUUUGUGUUUUGUUUAGUUGUGCCUUUUUUUUUUUCUCAUUAGGAAGGAAAUUAAAUUUGUGUUGAAGUCCUACCAUGUCAAAUGAUUUGCUGCAGCUUUUUCUUCUCCUUCUGUUAUCAAAUACACAACUCCUCUUUGAACUAGAAAAAGAAGAGGAGAAGAAAUCUUGCUCUUGGAAGAUUAAAUACUAUUUGAUGAUGCAGAGGUUGAAGAGCUUAUCCUUAAAACUAAUCUGUGAUAAAUAGCUUGAUAAUUGGCCACUUUCUACACACAUUACACUCCUACAAGACUACGUUGUUAUUCAAGAAGUUGAUAAUCAUGAAUGUUACUCCUAAUUGUUUCUUUCUGGUAUUGAAUUCUUUUCUAUAUGCCAAGUCAACUUCAGCAGAAAGGGAGGAAAGAAGUCCAGGAUUUUUUUUUCUUUAAUGAGUUUUAUAACAACAUAUUGAUGAGGUUUUAAAAUAAAUAUAAUUUUUAUUAAUGGUCUUACA
Molecule: long non-coding RNA, 6537 nt
Organism: Pseudopipra pipra
Lineage: Eukaryota; Metazoa; Chordata; Aves; Passeriformes; Pipridae
Exons: 2
Source: RefSeq, a predicted model, not a curated record